UCGUAUCUUUCUCCAUUACACAUUACAACAUAUUUAUACCUUUUUCAUCCAGAAUUUAAUUACAUUGAAUUAAACCAAAACAAGACCCCGUUAAGAGAUAUUGGCUUAAGUUACUUAAUGGACCAUAUUCUUUUCUUUUCGUAGGCCAUUACAAAAUUAAUCACAACAUAAGCUCAUACAAACUCUUACGUAAUGAUGAAAUAAUAAAUCACGAUCAUGACGAAAAGCGCACACAACCAUGUUUUUGAAAUUUCCUAGCUCUUGUAUCUCUUUCUCGUAUAAUUUAACUUCGAUAUUGAGCUCUCCAACCUGAAUCUUGUGCUUGUCAAUCUGAAUCUUGUGCUUUGAUGACUAACAGAUAAAUCUGCCAUCAAAAUAAAAUAAGUUAUACAACCAACAAACAAAUCUGCGAUGAGCAACAAAUAAAUCUGCAAACACUUAUAAAAAAUUUGCGAAGAAACAGAUAAAACUGCGAACACAAACCAAUAAAUAUGUCAUCAAACAACAACAAAAACUGCGAUGAGCUAACUCUCAAACCUCAACCUAAGCUAAGUUUCUUAUAUAAAAACAUGCAAACAUUUUACAAACUUAAGCUAAUUAUCUAACAAAACCUGAAACUUAGAACAAGAAACCUACAACUUAUCAAAUCUAAACCUGCAAAUUCAUUUACCACAAAAAGUGAUUAGGGUUUAAAAUUGUUUUACACCAUUGUCGCUGCCGCCUUCUUCUUCUCCAAAUUCGUUGUUGUUGUCAUAUAAUCGCCUUGCAGAGAACCACCAUCAAAAACCGCCAAACCAGUUGGUAGCAAAAAGGAGAAGACGAUGCGGCCGAUGACAGUUUGUGACGAAGAAGAGAAGACGACUCGACCGAGGAAAGUUGGUGGCAGAGAGGAGAAGACGAACCACAUAUGGUGGCGGCGAAAUCUGGAGAAGAAGAGUUGAGAAUUUAGGUUUUGUUUUUAGACAGGUGCUCUGGAGAAAACAACUCCGUGAGAAGCAGCGUCUAAGCAUUCGCCGGAGAAGCUGCGUCGAAGAACUCACAGGAGAAGAAGGCG
RNAcentral lists this long non-coding RNA (1054 nucleotides) under Arabidopsis lyrata. RNAcentral describes it as "long non-coding RNA (ALYR_LNC001438)". Lineage: Eukaryota; Viridiplantae; Streptophyta; Magnoliopsida; Brassicales; Brassicaceae. The record is from RNAcentral.